AGUGAACGCUGGCGGUAGGCCUAACACAUGCAAGUCGAACGGCAGCACAGUAAGAGCUUGCUCUUACGGGUGGCGAGUGGCGGACGGGUGAGGAAUACAUCGGAAUCUACUUUUUCGUGGGGGAUAACGUAGGGAAACUUACGCUAAUACCGCAUACGACCUACGGGUGAAAGCAGGGGAUCUUCGGACCUUGCGCGAUUGAAUGAGCCGAUGUCGGAUUAGCUGGUUGGCGGGGUAAAGGCCCACCAAGGCGACGAUCCGUAGCUGGUCUGAGAGGAUGAUCAGCCACACUGGAACUGAGACACGGUCCAGACUCCUACGGGAGGCAGCAGUGGGGAAUAUUGGACAAUGGGCGCAAGCCUGACCCAGCCAUACCGCGUGGGUGAAGAAGGCCUUCGGGUUGUAAAGCCCUUUUGUUGGGAAAGAAAAGCAGCAGGUUAAUACCCCGCUGUUCUGACGGUACCCAAAGAAUAAGCACCGGCUAACUUCGUG
RNAcentral lists this ribosomal RNA (492 nucleotides) under uncultured bacterium. RNAcentral describes it as "partial 16S ribosomal RNA". It matches the Rfam family "Bacterial small subunit ribosomal RNA", at positions 29 to 507 of the family's 1533-position model. The record is from RNAcentral.